GAUGAACGCUGGCGGCGUGCCUAAUACAUGCAAGUAGAACGCUGAAGGAGGAGCUUGCUCUUCUGGAUGAGUUGCGAACGGGUGAGUAACGCGUAGGUAACCUGCCUGGUAGCGGGGGAUAACUAUUGGAAACGAUAGCUAAUACCGCAUGACAACAGUUAUUGCAUGAUAACUGUUUAAAAGGGGCAACUGCUCCACUACCAGAUGGACCUGCGUUGUAUUAGCUAGUUGGUGAGGUAACGGCUCACCAAGGCGACGAUACAUAGCCGACCUGAGAGGGUGAUCGGCCACACUGGGACUGAGACACGGCCCAGACUCCUACGGGAGGCAGCAGUAGGGAAUCUUCGGCAAUGGACGGAAGUCUGACCGAGCAACGCCGCGUGAGUGAAGAAAGUUGUCGGAUCGUAAAGCUCUGUUGUAAGAGAAGAACGAGUGUGAGAGUGGAAAGUUCACACUGUGACGGUAUCUUACCAGAAAGGGACGGCUAACUACGUG
RNAcentral lists this ribosomal RNA (495 nucleotides) under uncultured bacterium. RNAcentral describes it as "partial 16S ribosomal RNA". It matches the Rfam family "Bacterial small subunit ribosomal RNA", at positions 28 to 507 of the family's 1533-position model. The record is from RNAcentral.